This 4598-nucleotide long non-coding RNA is filed under the name Olea europaea (common olive). RNAcentral describes it as "long non-coding RNA (OEUR_LNC002747)". Lineage: Eukaryota; Viridiplantae; Streptophyta; Magnoliopsida; Lamiales; Oleaceae. The record is from RNAcentral.
UUCUCCCACCAGAAUCCUAUUUGAUGUGAUUUCUUCAUCUCUCUCUAAUUAAAGUUGUAGUUUUCACUUCUCUCCCGUGAAUUUGGCGUCUGAAGAGCCAAUUUCAGUUUUUGUAUAUCGAAGGCAAGCUAUCAAUACUUUCAUGUCCUUCGUUUUUCCUUAUUCUCAAGCCAUGCGAAGCAAAUCCUAGGGUUUUAGGCUUUUUCAACUCCUUGGUCUUUAAAUUUCUUAUUCGUUGUGAUGUUUCGAAUUUUAUUUUUGCAGUCACAUUGAAGGUCAUAUGAUUUUCAGGACCCGAAUUCAUUGAAACUGGUAUGCAUAAUUUUUUAUUUUUUUUAUAUAUUUGUGCAAUUUUAGCAAUAUUGAGCAUUUUAUUGCCUUGAUUUUUAUUUUUGUUUGGAAAGUGAAGGAUAAAUAUAUACUCAGAUACUGAAUUUCCCACAAAUAUUUCGAGGUUAUGGGUUUAUUUGAGAUAAUGUUUGACUAGAUGGGCAACUAAUAGGAUUAAGGUUUGAAGAUUUUCGAACUGGCCAGCUCUUAACAAGUUUUCAUCUUCAAGCAGUGGUUCAUUGUAAAAGUUUUUCGACAACACUAAAAUGCUGAGGUUCUUGAAUCCUAUUAGGAAGGAAGCCAAUUUGAAAUUUGCAAGUUUAUUUAUUUCAUUGAUUGUAUAUGAUCUUAUUGGAACAUGAUUGGAUUCUACUGUCCAUGAGUUAUUAGUCCCUCUAAUUGCAAGCAGUUUUCCUGGGUUAUUAAUUAUUACUUGCACAAGGGAAGUACUUAUUCUACCAAAAAAAAAAAAAAGGAGUAUAGUACUAGAACUGAUCUAUCAUAGUAAAUAAUGCAAAUAUAUUUGCUGGGGGCCGGUUUCAUGAGAACGGUUGCUUUCAUCUUCAUCACAAGAUCCUCAUUUGUUAAAUUCUUUGUUGUAUUUAGGUUAACUAUUAGAAUUUUUUUAAUGAAUAUACGUUGAUGAAGUGAACAUUCUAGUUAACUAAUGGCACUAAACCAAAUGUGUUUUAAAUAAUCUAACUUAAGAAUAUUCAUUCCAGUAGCUUUUUUUGGUUGACAUAGUUCGUUGUUUUAACUUAAAAUUACUAACGACAUAUUCUCUUUUGUAUGAUUUAUGUGAAUAAAGUGAAAUACAUGAUAUACAUAUUCUCUUUUGUAAGAUCUUGUAAAUUAUGUCUAUCUAGUACUUGUAGCUUAUCAUCUUGUUUUUUCUUGAUCUAACCCAGAGGCUUCUCCUCUUAUGAUUGAAAAGAAAUGAUUCUUGUCUUGUCUGUCUAGUACUAUUUGUCAAUUAAUGUUUGGUUUUAAUAUUUGUAGCUUUCUUUAAUCAGACUGACAUCCUCAACAGCCAGAGGCAAAGCCAAGAUCGAACUACAAGCUGAGCUAACAUGUAAAAAUAUAUAUAAAUUUACACAAAAAAAAAAAAAAAAUUUUGCCCUAAAAAACAUUAAGUGGGCUGGAGAGGGGACUGGGCUACAGCCCAAUCCAAUCCCCCCUUAGAUCCGCCUCUGUCGAUCGCUGUGUUUGUUUUCAAUUUCUGUUUGAACUCCCAUAAUUAAUGGGUGUAGGUUCCACUUUUGGUGAAUCAAGUAUGUAAUUUUAUUUAUUUCUCCUAUAACCAAGAAGCUUAAAGUUAAUUUAUUUGACUUUCACCAUUUUCCUGCACGAAUCUGAGUGAACGUAUUUAAAACGCUUUAUUCUUUAAUUAAGUCUCUUCAAUGGAUUUAAAAAAUUAAAAUUCAAGCAUAUUCGCUAUAAAUCUGGCUUAUUCCUUAUUUUUUUGACCCCCUUCUUUCAAAAGAACAUAACUAUAUUAUAUUAGUCACCAAAAAUCAAGUAUGAUCCUUUUGCAUCUUCUGCUUGUACAACUAAAUCUGCUGCAGACAUAUUUGCUGUCAGACACAGCCAACUAUCAAGAAAUAUCCAAGUUCGAUUUUGUAGUAUAUUUGAGUGACCUUGUAUUGCACAUCUUCACCUUGCAAUGUGUUGUUGAUAAUUGCUCCUUUGUCAUCUUGUUAGCUAUUGAUACAUGUUUUUUGAGAUUGGUACUGAUGAAAGCGAAACGUUCCAAUUCUCAAUGCAUCGUCUUGGUUUUUAUAUGUAACUAGGACGCAAAAUGUCCAAAUCGAACCGAACCGUGUUGUUUUUUUAAGUUAAAUACUCGAACGAGUAUCUAAAUCGAAAACCAAUGGGUUCGGUUCGAUUCUUGGUUCUAGACCAAAAAUCGAAUAAAAACCAAGUCUCCUUAAAUUUUUAAAUUUUUUUAGAUUGGAUAAAUCAAAUUAUUUUAAUUUUUUCUAAAUAAAUUAACUAAUUAACUAAUUAAGUGAUUAAUGUUCCAAUUUUUAGUUUAUUUAUGUUUGUUAAUUGUGCUUUUUCAAAUUUUUCUUGUAGAGUUUCUUUAUAGUAAGUAUGGCAAGUCAAGCAAUUGAUAGCUAAUUCAAAUAGUUGGUAAGUAUUAGCAAUACUUUAAAAUAUUUUAUCUCUAUGACUUAUAAUUUAUAUUUCAUUUUCCAUGCAGACUUAAAGGUUUUAAGUAAAGGAAUCAUUGAUUGGAUCAUUGAAGUUUUAGUAUUAGUAUCUACUUUUUGGUAUUUGUAUGCAUUGGUAAAUUAAUCUUGUUGGACAACUAAUUAUUUAUAUAUUAUUAAAUUAAACUACGUUAAUUUGUAAAAACUACGAUCGAAUGUGUCAUUAGUUGUAUUUAUAUAAUGUCGUUAUGAAUGUUAAAAAAUUCAAUUAUAGUAUGGAAUCGAACCAAAUCGAAUGGAACCGAACCCAAAUAGUUUCAUAAUUAUAUUUGGACUCUAUAGUUCCACUUACCAGAUACCCGAAAAAUUCUGGUUCGAUUCGAUUCUCUUUAAAAUCGAACUAGACCGUGCCCGGGCUUAUAUGUAACGCAUGCAUUUGGAUGCCAAAUUAUAUGUGAUAAUGUUAAAAUCCACUAACCUAAGGUAAAUGCAUUGUAUUGAAUGUAGUGGUGAAAAUGAUUCAAAUAGGCACUUAAGGUAAAUGCACUGUAUUGAAUGUAGUGGUGAUAAUGAUUCAAAUAGCUGACAUAUAUUAAUUGGAAUCAAGACUUUGUUUCGUUUAUCUUCUAGUCUGAUCCAGUUAUUAGAUUUUAGUGUGUAAUUCAUUCUUAUGAACUCCCCUCCUUAUCAAUUUUCAUUAUCUUAUACGUGCAUAAAUUAUAUUGGAUAGCAGGCACUCGUUUACAUUACCACGAUGUCGUAAUAAAGUGAAAAUUGUAGUUAACUAGCGGCACUAAACCAGAUGUGUUCUAAAGAAUCUAACUUAAGAAUAUCCUUCUAGUAGCUUCUUCCUCCUCUUUUUUUUUUUUUUUUUUUGAUAAAAAUGACUAACUACAUAUUCUCUUUUUUGUGAUCUAUGUGAAUACGUGAUACACAUGAUGGAUAGGAGUUGGUCCAAAUCACAAUCUGAAUUUUCUUACAUAGUAUGUCUUAUCUAGUAGGUUUAUUUAUGUUCAAAUUCUCUAGUGCCUAGUAGAUUGUAUGAACUCAAUUAAAAAAUUUCUCUCGUGAUGUAAGAAUAACUUCAAACUAACAAUUUGGUUUUCUUGUACAUUGGGUAAAGCUUGAUUUUCUAGUACCAGAAAUUAAUGUCACUUAACAAAGAAUGUACGUAUUACAUAAAUAAACUUGGUUUAGCUAUUACAUAUUUAAAAAUAUGUGCUUUACUUAUAGUACUAUUCUUUUGCUAAUCUCUAUGCGGGUAGUAAUAUCGUGUAAAUAAAAAAGGUUGAACCCCAACUUUGAGGGUCCCCCACCGCCCCUACCCUGGAGCAUCGUGAGGGAGGUAAAUCGCAGGUUAUGCCUCCAAGGGUACAAGGUGGAAGGCUGUUUGUACACUUACACUUACCCAAAAGCCAAAUUCAUAUUUCAGGAUUCGAACCCUUGACGCGACAGCUUCAAGUAAAAUUGAAUUUUUCCACCCUCCCCUUUUACCACUUGGAGAUGUGCCCUGGGGACGUAAUAUCAUGUAAAUACUUAACAUGAUGGGUUGCUUUCCAUGUGCAGAAAUGUAAUAUACUUGCAUAUUUCUCCAUUGACAAAAUAGUUACAUUUACUUAUCAUAGCGUGUUCCCUCAUGCUUUAUAUGGUCUCACUAUAGUAAUAGGGGUUUAAUGUUUCUUUGCACGAUCAGCUAGAUGCUAAGUGGAACUGGGAUGUCUUUUCUUUCUUUUUACAUUAUUUGAACAGUGACCAAUUGGCCUUGUAGCUUUAGGGUGUCCGUAGGCAAAGUCUUUCUUUCUAAGUGAUAUAUUGUUAUUAUAGCUAACUUUAACAACUUCUCAUAUAUUCGCGUGACUAAAAUUGUGGGAUUUUUCCUUACAGGAAUGCUUAUUUAACCAAAGAAUAAAUUGAUGGUGAGUCGGAAGCAUAUCGUGGCGUCAAGAAUGUUAUUUGGGUGUCUCGUGAGUUUUUUGCUAUUUCUUACAUACUUUUAGUUCUAUUUUCAACAUUUCAAGAUUGGUGAACCAUCCUAAGUAGUUCGACCUUGAAAUUACUAGCAUUAUACUUUAUUUGUAUUUGUUUUAGUUUUGGAGUUAAUUAUCUAUUUUGUUA